RNAcentral lists this non-coding RNA (149 nucleotides) under Chloropicon laureae. Lineage: Eukaryota; Viridiplantae; Chlorophyta; Chloropicophyceae; Chloropicales; Chloropicaceae. The record is from RNAcentral.
CAACACACCAGCAAGGACAAACGAGGAGGACAGUGAAACAACUUUUCCUAAACAGGUCGUGCAAAACAACACGAGCGAACACUUGGAAAACUUUCGCGAGUAUGGGAGGAAACGAGGAAGCCGCGGCGAAGCAAGCCGCUGCGGAAGGG